This is a non-coding RNA of Cucurbita maxima (winter squash), 74 nucleotides long. The record is from the annotation of a RefSeq genome assembly. NCBI's taxonomy places the organism in Eukaryota, Viridiplantae, Streptophyta, Magnoliopsida, Cucurbitales, Cucurbitaceae.
GAUCGCAUAGCGCAGUGUAUUAGUGCGUCUGACUUUGGAUCAGAAGGUCGUGGGUUUGACUCCCACUGUGUUCG